Molecule: long non-coding RNA, 1336 nt
Organism: Gigantopelta aegis
Lineage: Eukaryota; Metazoa; Mollusca; Gastropoda; Neomphalida; Peltospiridae
Exons: 7
Source: RefSeq, a predicted model, not a curated record
AUUUUUCCCCCAUUUUUUACAGGCCAAAUCAGACCAACACAGUGACACUCCUCAAAGAGUUAUCUCCCCUUGACCAGCCGUCAACAUAUAACCAAGUGACUUUCGUGAAGUGCAAAAUAACUGAAUCUGCAGGUAAAUAGGCAGGUUUCCAUGCCUUGAUCCGCCUGCCCGAACACACAAAUGAAUGCCUUUGACACAGUGUUGAACAGUUGCCACUCACACAGGCCACGAUGGAAUCGAUGGUGUGUUUCGUUCUCAGCAAUGGUGUAGACCGCUUGAGUUGCAGGCUGGAGGGGUGUGCUCGAGUUCCCACCGAAAAGUCUGUUGUUGUAACGGCAGUCUCCCUCAACACUUAUCUUGUGAUCACUGGAAAUCUUCCAAGGCAUCGGGAACAGCUGGGUGAGGCCGAAGUAACCGCAUAUUGCCAGUCGUCCCCUGUGAAUCGGUGACCACAUAUGAAGAUGCACCUCGACUCGUUGACGGCUUAGCCACUGCAUCAAAGUCUUCCCUGGACAGCCUGGUACAGGCCAAAUCAGACCAACACAGUGACACUCCUCAAAGAGUUAUCCCCCCUUGACCAGCCGUCAACAUAUAACCAAGUGACUUUCGUGAAGUGCAAAAUAACUGAAUCUGCAGGUAAAUAGGCAGGUUUCCAUGCCUUGAUCCGCCUGCCCGAACACACAAAUGAAUGCCUUUGACACAGUGUUGAACAGUUGCCACUCACACAGGCCACGAUGGAAUCGAUGGUGUGUUUCGUUCUCAGCAAUGGUGUAGACCGCUUGAGUUGCAGGCUGGAGGGGUGUGCUCGAGUUCCCACCGAAAAGUCUGUUGUUGUAACGGCAGUCUCCCUCAACACUUAUCUUGUGAUCACUGGUAAAACCUUUUAGUUUGUUUAGUCGAACCAAAUUAGACCGUCUUUCUUUCAUAUCCUGUCUGUUUAUGUACACUGUUUUGGAUCCAACAUAAUUGGCUGAAUUCUGCAUUCCACGCUUGCUUCCAACAGGGAUACCAGCUGCGGAUAAGGAAUCGCGAAAUCCUGUAAUUCCAACUGAUGUAUUCAUAAGGCCAACAUGUAUCCCAAUAUUAGGCUGAGCAGCUUUCUGACCUCGUGCAGUGGGUAAAGUGACUUCUUCGUACAAUUUGUGCUUCUUCGAUCUAAAAUGACAUAGCUCACAUUUUAAACCUAGGCGCCAACACAUACCCCAUUGUUGAUAGGACUGUUCGUCAUACUUCAGAUCACCAUCACAUGUUGGGAAGUUAUUUCUAUGUUCUCGAUAAGAUUCAUUGAAUAGAUUGAGCACUUUACCACAAUGAAGAAGUUUAUAGCCAUCUAAGU